Molecule: ribosomal RNA, 228 nt
Filed under: Diversisporaceae sp.
Lineage: Eukaryota; Fungi; Glomeromycota; Glomeromycetes; Diversisporales; Diversisporaceae
Description: partial small subunit ribosomal RNA
Rfam family: Eukaryotic small subunit ribosomal RNA
Source: RNAcentral
UGGAGGGCAAGUCUGGUGCCAGCAGCCGCGGUAAUUCCAGCUCCAAUAGCGUAUAUUAAAGUUGUUGCAGUUAAAAAGCUCGUAGUUGAACUUCGGGUUUCACCCAUUGGUCAGGCUUAAUUGUCUGUACUGGUGAGAUGAAUCUCUACCUUCUGAGGAACUUUCAUGUCAUUAAUUUGGUGUGAUUGGAAAUCAGGACUGUUACUUUGAAAAAAUUAGAGUGUUUAA